AUUUCCCUCUUUCUUUAGGCCUAACACAUGCAAGUCGAACGGCAGCACAGUAAGAGCUUGCUCUUACGGGUGGCGAGUGGCGGACGGGUGAGGAAUACAUCGGAAUCUACUUUUUCGUGGGGGAUAACGUAGGGAAACUUACGCUAAUACCGCAUACGACCUACGGGUGAAAGCAGGGGAUCUUCGGACCUUGCGCGAUUGAAUGAGCCGAUGUCGGAUUAGCUAGUUGGCGGGGUAAAGGCCCACCAAGGCGACGAUCCGUAGCUGGUCUGAGAGGAUGAUCAGCCACACUGGAACUGAGACACGGCCCAGACUCCUACGGGAGGCAGCAGUGGGGAAUAUUGGACAAUGGGCGCAAGCCUGAUCCAGCCAUACCGCGUGGGUGAAGAAGGCCUUCGGGUUGUAAAGCCCUUUUGUUGGGAAAGAAAAGCAGCAGGUUAAUACCCCGCUGUUCUGACGGUACCCAAAGAAUAAGCACCGGCUAACUUCGUG
This 492-nucleotide ribosomal RNA is filed under the name uncultured bacterium. RNAcentral describes it as "partial 16S ribosomal RNA". It matches the Rfam family "Bacterial small subunit ribosomal RNA", at positions 36 to 507 of the family's 1533-position model. The record is from RNAcentral.